RNAcentral lists this ribosomal RNA (690 nucleotides) under uncultured Gigaspora. RNAcentral's name for it is "SSU rRNA". It matches the Rfam family "Eukaryotic small subunit ribosomal RNA", at positions 368 to 1065 of the family's 1831-position model. Lineage: Eukaryota; Fungi; Glomeromycota; Glomeromycetes; Diversisporales; Gigasporaceae. The record is from RNAcentral.
AAUUAGGGUUCGAUUCCGGAGAGGGAGCCUGAGAAACGGCUACCACAUCCAAGGAAGGCAGCAGGCGCGCAAAUUACCCAAUCCCGAUACGGGGAGGUAGUGACAAUAAAUAACAAUACAGGGCUCUUAUGGGUCUUGUAAUUGGAAUGAGUACAAUUUAAAUCCCUUAACGAGGAACAGUUGGAGGGCAAGUCUGGUACCAGCAGCCGCGGUAAUUCCAGCUCCAAUAGCGUAUAUUAAAGUUGUUGCAGUUAAAAAGCUCGUAGUUGAAUUUCGGGGUUCUACCGUUGGUCGGGCAAUUGUCUGUACUGGCGUGUAGAAUUUCUACCUUCUGGGGAACCAUUAUGUUAUUAAUUUAGCGUGGUGGGAAACCAGGACCUUUACCUUGAAAAAAUUAGAGUGUUCAAAGCAGGCUUACGUCUGAAUACAUUAGCAUGGAAUAAUAAAAUAGGACGGUGGUCCUGUUUUGUUGGUUUCUGAAUCACCGUAAUGAUUAAUAGGGAUGGUUGGGGGCAUUAGUAUUCGAUUGUCAGAGGUGAAAUUCUUGGAUUUAUUGAAGACUAACUUCUGCGAAAGCAUUUGCCAAGGAUGGUUUCAUUAAUCAAGAACGAAAGUUAGGGGAUCGAAGACGAUCAGAUACCGUCGUAGUCUUAACCAUAAACUAUGCCGACUAGGGAUCGGACGAUGUUA